UACGUAGGGUGCGAGCGUUGUCCGGAAUUAUUGGGCGUAAAGGGCUCGUAGGCGGUCUGUUGCGUCAGGAGUGAAAACUCGGGGCUUAACCCCGAGCCUGCUUCUGAUACGGGCAGACUAGAGGUAUGCAGGGGAGAACGGAAUUCCUGGUGUAGCGGUGAAAUGCGCAGAUAUCAGGAGGAACACCGGUGGCGAAGGCGGCUGCCUGGCCUAGAACUGACGCUGAGGUGCGAAAGCGUGGGGAGCGAACGGG
RNAcentral lists this ribosomal RNA (253 nucleotides) under uncultured bacterium. Its description in RNAcentral is "partial 16S ribosomal RNA". It matches the Rfam family "Bacterial small subunit ribosomal RNA", at positions 524 to 776 of the family's 1533-position model. The record is from RNAcentral.